RNAcentral lists this ribosomal RNA (436 nucleotides) under uncultured Oscillospiraceae bacterium. RNAcentral's name for it is "partial 16S ribosomal RNA". It matches the Rfam family "Bacterial small subunit ribosomal RNA", at positions 341 to 792 of the family's 1533-position model. Lineage: Bacteria; Bacillati; Bacillota; Clostridia; Eubacteriales; Oscillospiraceae. The record is from RNAcentral.
ACGGAGGCAGCAGUGGGGAAUAUUGGGCAAUGGGCGAAAGCCUGACCCAGCAACGCCGCGUGAAGGAAGAAGGCCUUCGGGUUGUAAACUUCUUUUAUCAGGGACGAAGAAAGCGACGGUACCUGAUGAAUAAGCCACGGCUAACUACGUGCCAGCAGCCGCGGUAAUACGUAGGUGGCAAGCGUUAUCCGGAUUUACUGGGUGUAAAGGGCGCGUAGGCGGGGAUGCAAGUCAGAUGUGAAAUCUAUGGGCUCAACUCAUAAACUGCAUUUGAAACUGUAUCUCUUGAGUGUCGGAGAGGUAGACGGAAUUCCUAGUGUAGCGGUGAAAUGCGUAGAUAUUAGGAGGAACACCAGUGGCGAAGGCGGUCUGCUGGACGAUAACUGACGCUGAGGCGCGAAAGCGUGGGGAGCAAACAGGAUUAGAUACCCUGGUA